GUUUGAUUACAUAGAACAUGCCUUCUAAACUCAUUUAAAAAAAAACAGAGAGAGAGAUUAGAGAUAUAGAAUAUUGAAUACCAAACUCUGCAAGAUCUAGACCAGCAGAACUUGAGCCAUGCAUGUCAUGAAGAGUUGUUUAUACAGAUGGAGUGCUGUCCAAUGUGAGACAAAUUGUUGAAGGAUUACGCUUCAUCCAUACAAAUCAAUUUGUUCACAGAGACCUUGCCACAAAAUACAUUUUUGUGGGAGCUUUCCAGGACGAGAAGGAGAUCAAAAUAGAAGAUUUCGGAAUUAGUGAACAGUUUAAAUUUGAAUGUGAAUCUAACUUGAUCAAUCUUAGCUUUUAUUGUUCCAAGUUGAUUGUUUAUUUCUUAUUAAUAUUUUUUUGGCAACGGUAUUAUGUAAGAAAAGUGAAAAAAUUCAAGUUGACGCUCAAGGAAACAAAAGUUAAGAGGCUCCUGAGGGAAAAGGACCCAUCGAUGCAAAAGCAGAUAUAUACAGUUUGUGAAUUAUUGUGUUCAUGCUGCUGCACCCUCACAAUAUCCGGCACAGAAAGAAAAUAGAAUUUAGAUAAAUUGAAAAGCAUAGAAUUUCCGAAUGAUUGGGAAAAUGAGCGGUACAAACCUCUCAAAUCUCUUAUCUCGGACAUGAUGUCUGUAAACCCUGAUGACUGUCCUUCUGCUGAAGAAGUUUUGCCCUGAGUUCAGUGCGAUGAGUCUGUGGAAGGCAAUAAAGACGAGCAAGAGACUAGGAAAAAUGUUGAUAAGGAGGAGAUUGAAACUGUUGGAGAGGAUGGCGCAGAGGAGGCUUGAGCUUAGGCGAUAGCACUGAAUUAGGAAUGUUCAAAGCAGGAUCAAAAUGCUUGCCAUCACAAAUUUUACUUCAGGGAGGCUGCAUGGCAGUCAAGUGUUCAGUCUAAAGUCUGAUUGUCGAGCAGUGAGGUGCUUCAUGUCUGUCGGAGUGCCAUGUUGUUUUUAUCAAAGUGUGAUAUGUUCAAACACUACAACAGAGGCAAAAUGAUGUGUAGCAAUUCAUCUGAUGUGGCAAACUGCCUCAGCAGAAUUAUUUUGGAAAGCAUGACUGAUGGUUAUCAAAGUGAAAACCAAUUCUGUUCGUAUAUCUUAGCUCUUUAAAACCUUAUCUGUGUAUCUCUUUAAAAGAAUAAGGGUCGAAUCAGAGGAAAUAAUAUUUCUAUGAGGAUUUGAAUUAAA
Molecule: long non-coding RNA, 1214 nt
Organism: Populus trichocarpa (black cottonwood)
Lineage: Eukaryota; Viridiplantae; Streptophyta; Magnoliopsida; Malpighiales; Salicaceae
Exons: 4
Source: RefSeq, a predicted model, not a curated record